Molecule: long non-coding RNA, 721 nt
Organism: Oncorhynchus keta (chum salmon)
Lineage: Eukaryota; Metazoa; Chordata; Actinopteri; Salmoniformes; Salmonidae
Exons: 3
Source: RefSeq, a predicted model, not a curated record
UCUCCUUUGUCAGAUUAUGUAGGUCACUUUUCUCUCCCACAAUUUUCUCUGUAACCAGCAGAGCCGACAGCCGAGCAUCAGCUGUUCAACCGGCUUGGAAUCAAUCGUGGGGGACCAGGGAAAUAGCGAAAAGUUUUACAUUUAUUUGCUCAGAAAUCACAUGUAGCCUUUGAACUUGGUCACUAACAAAACAGAGAUGGAAAUGAGGUGUUGCUCGUGGCCAGCACUGUGCUUUGUCUUGGUUCUUCUGACACCAGUAGCAUCGCAAUGGCCAGGAAAGUGGCUUGGAAACGGCAAGAUGUUCUCUCUGAUGACAAGAGCCAAAUCUUUAAAAUGUUCCUAGCCGUUGCCGGAGAUUUGGUUCGUCCGGCCAUGCACUGCAGAAGUCCUAGUAAAACUCCUUGUAUGCUAUUUUUAUCCCACUAGUUGUUUUCUGGUUAUGAUGGGAUCCCUGAUUAAUUUGCCAUCACCAGAGGGGUCCCCAUUCCAAAAAAGUUUGAGAACACCUGCUCUAAGGCAAAAAAUAUUGGUGAAAGUAAUGAUACAAUUAGUUUUCAUUGGUAUUUGGUGAAUUAUGUUGAACUGUGUUUUUAAGAUUUUGGUCGAUUCAGUGAUAGUUGCUCAGUGAAAGUGUGUUUCAUAGCAUAGUCCCAUGGAUAGCAUAGUUCCACAAGCAAACACUAUGUGCUGGAUUGACAUUCUAUACCCAAUAAAAAUUGAA